Molecule: unclassified non-coding RNA, 288 nt
Filed under: Melitaea cinxia (Glanville fritillary)
Lineage: Eukaryota; Metazoa; Arthropoda; Insecta; Lepidoptera; Nymphalidae
Description: misc RNA ENSMCXG00005010582.1
Source: RNAcentral
UUUUGGUUUUUAGUACAUUUAUCUUAAACAUUGCAAUGUAUGUUUAACAUAAAACCGUUUAACUUAAAAAGUUUUUUUACCUAUUUUUAUUUUCUAUUUUUUAGUUUUUAUUUCGCAUUCUGUUUAAUUCAUUUAGUGCUUCAUUAUUGCAAGGCCCAUCUUAAAUAUUGAGGUUGUAUAUGCACUGUAUUCUUCUUGUCAAGCCCUUUUAUUUGAUACCCAUAUUGGUGGGAUUGAUAAAAAAUUGUUAUCAGACAUUUGGUAGCGGCGGCCAGCUUAGAUUUCAAU